This 407-nucleotide ribosomal RNA is filed under the name uncultured bacterium. Its description in RNAcentral is "partial 16S ribosomal RNA". It matches the Rfam family "Bacterial small subunit ribosomal RNA", at positions 28 to 526 of the family's 1533-position model. The record is from RNAcentral.
GACGAACGCUGGCGGCAGGCCUAACACAUGCAAGUCGAGCGGAGCGGCGGACGGGUGAGUAAUGCCUAGGAAUCUGCCUGGUCGUGGGGGAUAACGUCCGGAAACGGGCGCUAAUACCGCAUACUAUCAGAUGAGCCUAGGUCGGAUUAGCUAGUUGGUGGGGUAAAGGCCUACCAAGGCGCCGAUCCGUAACUGGUCUGAGAGGAUGAUCAGUCACACGUGAACUGAGACAAGGUCCAGGCUCCUACGGGAGGCAGCAGUGGGGAAGAUUGGAUAAUGGGCGAAAGCCUGAUCCAGCCAUGCCGCGUGGGGGAAGAAGGUCUUCGGAUUGUAAAGCACGUUAAGUUGGGAGGCGUUACCAACAGAAUAAGCACCGGCUAACUUCGUGCCAGACGCCGCGGUAAUUC